RNAcentral lists this ribosomal RNA (468 nucleotides) under uncultured bacterium. RNAcentral's name for it is "partial 16S ribosomal RNA". It matches the Rfam family "Bacterial small subunit ribosomal RNA", at positions 28 to 507 of the family's 1533-position model. The record is from RNAcentral.
GACGAACGCUGGCGGCGUGCUUAACACAUGCAAGUCGAACGGAAAGGCCCUGCUUUUGUGGGGUGCUCGAUUGGCGAACGGGUGAGUAACACGUGAGUAACCUGCCCUUGACUUUGGGAUAACUUCUGGAAACUGGGGCUAAUACCGGAUAGGAGCUCCUGCUGCACGGUGGGGGUUGGAAAGUUUCGGCGGUUGGGGAUGGACUCGCGGCUUAUCAGCUUGUUGGUGGGGUAGUGGCUUACCAAGGCUUUGACGGGUAGCCGGCCUGAGAGGGUGACCGGCCACAUUGGGACUGAGAUACGGCCCAGAAGCCUACGGGAGGCAGCAGUGGGGAAUAUUGCACAAUGGCCGGAAGCCUGAUGCAGCAACGCCGCGUGCGGGAUGACGGCCUUCGGGUUAUAAACCGCUUUGGCCUGUGACGAGGCGUGAGUGACGGUAAUGGGUAAAGAAGCACCGGCUAACUACGUG